Molecule: non-coding RNA, 1851 nt
Organism: Malus domestica (apple)
Lineage: Eukaryota; Viridiplantae; Streptophyta; Magnoliopsida; Rosales; Rosaceae
Source: RefSeq, a predicted model, not a curated record
UCCUCCACAUCGCAAAGAAAUAUCACUCUCCAAAAUAUCCAGAAAAGCUCUCAAAUUUCACUACAAAGCUCAAAUUUAGCAACGCAAAUCCCUGGAAUCGCAUCAAAUCCAGAAAUCCAAUUCUCAAAAUCCUCUUCCACAUGUAAAAAUCCUUUCUUUUGGUGCUGGGAUUCCUGCUAAUAACUAAUUUGGGGAAACCAAUAACCAUGGAUGGAGUGUUGGUGAAAGAGGAGGAGGUUGUGACAUGCACCGUCGGCUCAUCGUCUUCGUCGUCCUCAAGCUUCUCGCCGCAGCCAAUAGAGGGGCUGCACGAGGUGGGUCCGCCGCCGUUUCUCACGAAGACGUUUGAAAUGGUGGAGGAUCCUUCCACGGACGCCAUUGUUUCCUGGAGCAAAGCUCGCAACAGCUUCGUUGUGUGGGACUAUCACAAGUUCUCCGCCACUCUUCUUCCUCGAUACUUCAAGCACAGUAACUUCUCCAGCUUCAUUCGUCAGCUCAAUACAUAUGGUUUCAGAAAGGUUGAUCCGGACCGAUGGGAAUUCGCAAACGAGGGUUUUCUAGGAGGGCAGAGGCAUUUGCUGAAGACCAUUAAGAGGAGGAGACAUGUCUCGCAGAAUAUGCAACAAGAAGCCGGAGGAGGAGCUUGUGUUGAAUUGGGGCAGUAUGGAGUAGAAACCGAGCUUGAAAGACUGAAAAGAGACCGAAACAUUUUGAUGACGGAGAUUGUGAAGUUGAGGCAGCAACAACAAAAUUCAAGGGAGCAAGUCAUGGCAAUGGAGGGCCGGUUGCUGACCACGGAGAAAAAACAGCAGCAGAUGAUGACUUUCCUUGCUAAAGCACUCAAUAAUCCAUCUUUUCUACAAACCCUUGCUGAGAAGAAUGCCAAGAAUAGAGCACUGCACGGUAUUGGUAGAAAGCGGAGACUGGCUGCUAGUCCCAGUCUUGAGAAUCUGCAAGAAGCGCCUAGAAUCGACGUUGUGGACUACUCUGCAAGCCAGGAUCUGGGAGAGUUGGCAACUAUGGAACCAGAUAUUGAGAACUUUUUCUCAACUGCUGCAUUGGACAACAAAUCGACCAGUGGUUUCAAAGACCGUAAACCGAGCUUAGUACCCGCAAGUACUGGUGGAGGCAACUUGGAUUCUGUUGAUGAGACCAUAUGGGAGGAGCUGUGGAGUGAUGACCUCAUUGGUGGCAACCCGGAGGAGGAAGCUGCUGCGGUGGGCGAGGAAUCAGAAGUCGACGUUGAGGUGGAGGAUUUGGUUGCAGAGCCUGCAGAUUGGGGUGAGGACUUGCAAGACCUUGUUGAUCAAAUGGGUUAUCUAAUCCGGCCCAAGCCGUGAUGACGGUAACAAAAGUGUCUGAUGAUGAUGAAGUGCAAUGUGUGCUGAGUUGGUCCCCUGCAACUCCAUUCCUAUAUCUAUAUAUUGAUGGGAGUGGUGAAUGUUGCAAAGGGGCCAACUCAAAUGCUGCUGUUUCUUUGUAUCCUUUGAUGAUUGCGUUCAAUAAAUGCUACUUGUACUUUCUAAAUGUGUGUGUCUUUGUAUCCACUGGUCUUGAUUUCCUGUUUCUUCUUUCGUGCAUUGCAGGCGGAGGAGGAGCCAUCGGAGACCUGUGAAGGGUUUCGGUACUUUUGAUGUAGCUUCAGAUCGACGUAGCUAGUGCAUAUAGCAGUUAGCAGUUAAGUUAGUUAAGUCAGUUAGCUGUUGAGAGUUGCUGCUUGUGUAUCUACUUAUCACAAACACCAGUUAUGCAGAUGUAAUAUUAGUGUCUUGUUCUUUAAGCUCAAUUUUGUAACUAUAAUUUUUAUGAAAUAUAUAACUCAUAUUAGUAAAGUUGAUGACUUUAUAUUCA